RNAcentral lists this ribosomal RNA (497 nucleotides) under uncultured bacterium. RNAcentral describes it as "partial 16S ribosomal RNA". It matches the Rfam family "Bacterial small subunit ribosomal RNA", at positions 28 to 507 of the family's 1533-position model. The record is from RNAcentral.
GAUGAACGCUGGCGGCGUGCCUAAUACAUGCAAGUCGAGCGAACAGACGAGGAGCUUGCUCCUCUGACGUUAGCGGCGGACGGGUGAGUAACACGUGGAUAACCUACCUAUAAGACUGGGAUAACUUCGGGAAACCGGAGCUAAUACCGGAUAAUAUAUUGAACCGCAUGGUUCAAUAGUGAAAGACGGUUUUGCUGUCACUUAUAGAUGGAUCCGCGCCGCAUUAGCUAGUUGGUAAGGUAACGGCUUACCAAGGCAACGAUGCGUAGCCGACCUGAUAGGGUGAUCGGCCACACUGGAACUGAGACACGGUCCAGACACCUACGGGAGGCAGCAGUAGGGAAUCUUCCGCAAUGGGCGAAAGCCUGACGGAGCAACGCCGCGUAAGUGAUGAAGGUCUUCGGAUCGUAAAACUCUGUUAUUAGGGAAGAACAAAUGUGUAAGUAACUAUGCGCGUCUUGACGGUACCUGAUCAGAAAGCCACGGCUAACUACGUG